Molecule: ribosomal RNA, 61 nt
Filed under: Colletotrichum magnum
Lineage: Eukaryota; Fungi; Ascomycota; Sordariomycetes; Glomerellales; Glomerellaceae
Description: partial 28S ribosomal RNA
Source: RNAcentral
GUUGACCUCGGAUCAGGUAGGAAUACCCGCUGAACUUAAGCAUAUCAAUAGCGGAAGGAAA